UACUACGGCCAUGCCACUCUGAACAAGCCCGAUCCUGUCUGAUCUCAGAAGCUAAGCAGGGUCGGGCUUGGUUAGUACUUGGAUGGGAGACCACCUAGGAAGAUCAGGUGCUGUAGAUG
This 119-nucleotide ribosomal RNA is filed under the name Pteropus alecto (black flying fox). Lineage: Eukaryota; Metazoa; Chordata; Mammalia; Chiroptera; Pteropodidae. The record is from RNAcentral.